CUUAGGUCGACCCGCUGAAUUUAAGCAUAUCAAUAAGCGGAGGAGAAGAAACUAACUAGGAUUCCCUCAGUAACGGCGAGUGAAGAGGGAAGAGCCCAGCACCGAAGCCUGCGGCAGAUUUGCUGUUAGGCAAUGUGGUGUGUGGGUCGGCUAGUGGGAUCGUCACUCCACUCGAAGUCCAGCAUUGAGUAUGGUUAUCACUGGAUUUGGCCCAUAGAGGGUGAGAGGCCCGUACGAGUGGGGUUUCAGACAUGUGAGACGAUUCACCAGGUCGACCUCAGAGUCGGGUUGUUUGAGAUUGCAGCCCAAAGUGGGUGGUAAACUCCAUCCAAGGCUAAAUACUGGCACGAGUCCGAUAGCGAACAAGUACCGUGAGGGAAAGUUGAAAAGUACUCUGAAGAGAGAGUAAACAGUACGUGAAACCGCAUGCAGGUAAACGGGUGGCGUCAAGCUGCGAGCCCGGAGAAUUCAGCUGGCCAGAUUGUAGUGUGCGCGCCUGUGGCGUCGAAGGGCCAGAGUAAGACGUAGUAGUCCACUUCUCGCGUAGGAGUGGGGCGUGGCCAUGACCUUAGUUGUGGCCGUUGCUAUGCGUGCCGAGUUGUGUGUUGGAGCGUGCUACUCGUCUGUGGGGCCGUCUGGUCAGUGCACUUUCUCCGUGGUGAACACCACGACCGGUGGUAUUGCCAGUCUACUGUGGUCAAGUCGUGUCUCUCUGGUGGCCUUGUUGCUCCUCUUGAGGGGGGCAAUGAUGGCUAUUUGGGGGACGCGAUCGCAGAUGGGAGGGGUGUACGGCGUAGCGGUGUCUCGACGCUGUUGCGUGUUAUCGUGCAUUCACCAUCAACGAGGUGUGGGAGUGUAGAUGCGUGUGCGUUGGGCUGUGGUCGCGCUCCUAUGCUUCUCGGCGGGCCAUCGUGGUGAAAGUGACUGUGCAAGGCACCGUGUUUAACCGCCUCAGCUGAUUGGUCGGGCUUCUGGCUUGGUUGAUUGGCUCGUGGUAUCUGGCACGCACACCACAGGUGCAAGAUAGGGGGCGCGUCUCUGUCCGUGCGCGUUGGGCUUGGCUAGCGUGUUGCUCACGCAAAGUGGGUCCGCUAGUGGUCUAGCGUGUUAUUAACACAAUGGGCAGAGUUGCGUGUCACCGGGUGCCACUUUUGCUAUGGAUACCGGGGGCGUUAUAGUCAGUGGUGCUGUGGUAGACGAGCUACCCGACCCGUCUUGAAACACGGACCAAGGAGUUUAACAUGCGUGCGAGUCAGAGGGUCCUACGAAACCCCAAGGCGCAGUGAAAGUGAAGUCCGUGUUGCGCACCUAGGCACACUUGCGCGGUGCGUCGCGGCGAGGUGAGAUCCUGCUGUUAACCUACUCAUCGUCAGUGUAACCUGGCCAAUUAGGAGCAGUGGGCGCAUCACCGGCCCGUCCCACGAUGUGGACAUUGGCAAUGGCGUGGUUGUGUGCGUGUAAGCGUGCAUUGCUGCGUCGGCUAGUGCGCCAUCGGGGCGGAGCAUGAGCACGCAUGUUGAGACCCGAAAGAUGGUGAACUAUGCUUGCGUAGGUUGAAGCCAGAGGAAACUCUGGUGGAGGACCGUAGCGAUUCUGACGUGCAAAUCGAUCGUCAAACGCGAGUAUAGGGGCGAAAGACUAAUCGAACCAUCUAGUAGCUGGUUCCCUCCGAAGUUUCCCUCAGGAUAGCUGGCACCCAUUGGCAUAAUCAGUUUUAUCCGGUAAAGCGAAUGAUUAGAGGUCCUGGGUUCGAAACGGACUCAACCUAUUCUCAAACUUUAAAUGGGUGAGAUGCUCGACUCGCCUCAUGUGCGUGUGUGUGAUGCAGUUUAACUGGUCGUGUGCGUUCGCGUAUGCGAUUGGUGGCUGUAUGUGGUAGGAGUCGGGCGUUGAAUGUGCGGGUGCCAAGUGGGCCAUUUUUGGUAAGCAGAACUGGCGCUGUGGGAUGAACCAAACGCUUGGUUAAGGUGCCUAACGCUGACGCUCAUGAGAUACCACAAAAGGUGUUGGUUAAUAUAGACAGCAGGACGGUGGCCAUGGAAGUCGGCAUCCGCUAAGGAGUGUGUAACAACUCACCUGCCGAAUUGACCAGCCCUGAAAAUGGAUGGCGCUGGAGCGUCGGACCUAUACCAGGCCGUCAUCGUAAGCUGGAUCUACUGACGCAUGAUGCAUGUGUGAGUGGGUGUGCGGUAUGCAGACGUGUCAUGAUCCAGGCAUGUAGCGCGGUGGCGAGUAGGAGGGUCGCCGUGGUGAGCGUGGAAGCCUCGAGCGUGAGCUUAGGUGGAGCCGCCACGGGUGCAGUCUUGGUGGUAGUAGCAAAUAUCAA
This 2326-nucleotide ribosomal RNA is filed under the name Raillietina australis. Its description in RNAcentral is "eukaryotic LSU rRNA". It matches the Rfam family "Eukaryotic large subunit ribosomal RNA", at positions 16 to 1473 of the family's 3401-position model. Lineage: Eukaryota; Metazoa; Platyhelminthes; Cestoda; Cyclophyllidea; Davaineidae. The record is from RNAcentral.